AAUGGGUCAGCGACUUAUAUUCUGUAGCAAGGUUAACCGAAUAGGGGAGCCGAAGGGAAACCGAGUCUUAACUGGGCGUUAAGUUGCAGGGUAUAGACCCGAAACCCGGUGAUCUAGCCAUGGGCAGGUUGAAGGUUGGGUAACACUAACUGGAGGACCGAACCGACUAAUGUUGAAAAAUUAGCGGAUGACUUGUGGCUGGGGGUGAAAGGCCAAUCAAACCGGGAGAUAGCUGGUUCUCCCCGAAAGCU
Molecule: ribosomal RNA, 251 nt
Filed under: Escherichia coli
Lineage: Bacteria; Pseudomonadati; Pseudomonadota; Gammaproteobacteria; Enterobacterales; Enterobacteriaceae
Description: partial 23S ribosomal RNA
Rfam family: Bacterial large subunit ribosomal RNA
Source: RNAcentral